This 72-nucleotide transfer RNA is filed under the name Penaeus japonicus. RNAcentral's name for it is "tRNA-Ile". It matches the Rfam family "tRNA". Rfam says of the family: Transfer RNA (tRNA) molecules are approximately 80 nucleotides in length. Their secondary structure includes four short double-helical elements and three loops (D, anti-codon, and T loops). Further hydrogen bonds mediate the characteristic L-shaped molecular structure. tRNAs have two regions of fundamental functional importance: the anti-codon, which is responsible for specific mRNA codon recognition, and the 3' end, to which the tRNAs corresponding amino acid is attached (by aminoacyl-tRNA synthetases). tRNAs cope with the degeneracy of the genetic code in two manners: having more than one tRNA (with a specific anti-codon) for a particular amino acid; and 'wobble' base-pairing, i.e. permitting non-standard base-pairing at the 3rd anti-codon position. The record is from RNAcentral. Lineage: Eukaryota; Metazoa; Arthropoda; Malacostraca; Decapoda; Penaeidae.
GCCUUCGUGGUGUAGUGGAUAACACGACCGCCUUAUAAUCGGUAGACUCGGGUUCGAUCCCCGACGGAGGCU